GACGAACGCUGGCGGCGUGCUUAACACAUGCAAGUCGAACGCUGAAGCUUGGUGCUUGCACUGGGUGGAUGAGUGGCGAAUGGGUGAGUAAUACGUGAGUAACCUGCCCUUGACUCUGGGCUAAGCCUGGGAAACUGGGUCUAAUACUGGAUACGACAUGUCACCGCAUGGUGGUGUGUGGAAAGGGUUUUACUGGUUUUGGAUGGGCUCACGGCCUAUCAGCUUGUUGGUGGGGUGAUGGCUCACGAAGGCGACGACGGGUAGCCGGCCUGAGGGGGUGGCCGGCCACACUGGGACUGAGACACGGCCCAGACUCCUACGGGAGGCAGCAGUGAGGAAUAGUGCACAGUGGGCGGAAGCCUGAUGCAGCGACGCCGCGUGAGGGAUGACGGCCUUCGGGUUGUAGACCUCUUUCAGCACGGAAGAAGCGAAAGUGACGGUACGUGCAGAAGAAGCGCCGGCUAACUACGUG
RNAcentral lists this ribosomal RNA (472 nucleotides) under uncultured bacterium. RNAcentral describes it as "partial 16S ribosomal RNA". It matches the Rfam family "Bacterial small subunit ribosomal RNA", at positions 28 to 507 of the family's 1533-position model. The record is from RNAcentral.